Chiroxiphia lanceolata (lance-tailed manakin) is the source of this 401-nucleotide long non-coding RNA. RefSeq lists it as uncharacterized. The record is from RefSeq and is a predicted model, not a curated record. NCBI's taxonomy places the organism in Eukaryota, Metazoa, Chordata, Aves, Passeriformes, Pipridae. The transcript is spliced from 3 exons.
UGUUACAUCCCCCUGCAGCUAAACAAGCCCAAUCCCUCCACUAUUUCACAAGUCACAACAUCUAAGGCUUCCACUGAUUAUUACAUCACAAAUCAGUUUUGACUUGUUAGUGAAGAGGAGGUUCAGCUUAUCUGGUAGAUGGUUAAAAUCUCCCAUACAAAUGAGGAACUGUGAUCCAGAGGCUCCCUCAGGUUUUAGAGAGAUUUCAUCCACUUUCUUGCUGUGCUGGUUUGACCCCAGCUGAAGGUCAGGUGUCCACCAAAGCCACUCUAUUACUCCCUCCUCGACUGGACAGGCAGGAGUAAGAUGGCUGAGCAGCAGCACUCAUUAAAGAAGCAUGAGAUUCCCCAGGGCUAUUGAAUCAAACUUGAAAUAAAAAAUGUCUUAAUCAUCUCUUUUAA